UCUUUCCUAUGAUGAGUUGCUAACUGUAUUGCCUACAUUGUUUGAUCAAUCUUAUGAGAAACUUCUGCAACGUCUGAGGAUGGA
This is a small nucleolar RNA of Lolium rigidum, 84 nucleotides long. RefSeq annotates it as small nucleolar RNA SNORD34. The record is from RefSeq and is a predicted model, not a curated record. The transcript has a single exon. Lineage: Eukaryota; Viridiplantae; Streptophyta; Magnoliopsida; Poales; Poaceae.